GCCGGAGUGGCGGAAUGGCAGACGCUGUGGUCUUAAACACCAUUGGCCGCAAGGCCGUAGGGGUUCGACUCCCCUCUCUGGCA
This 83-nucleotide transfer RNA is filed under the name Chloroflexota bacterium. RNAcentral's name for it is "tRNA-Leu". It matches the Rfam family "tRNA". Rfam says of the family: Transfer RNA (tRNA) molecules are approximately 80 nucleotides in length. Their secondary structure includes four short double-helical elements and three loops (D, anti-codon, and T loops). Lineage: Bacteria; Bacillati; Chloroflexota. The record is from RNAcentral.